UUGGAUGUCGAAAUGUUUUUCUGGGAAUUUUGAAUAUUUUCUCAUCAAGAGCAUUUGACUUAUAAUCCUCCGUCUUUGUGGGAGAGCCAUGAAUCCCAACAAGAGAUUCACUGAGGUGCACUGAGAUCUGCAGUGCAGUUUCUGAGAUGUGAAGCAACGAUGGAGCUGCUGAGUGGGGAGUGAGCACAGUCUCCGGGACAGAUUGCAUACUAGGUCACCAUGGUAAUGGCUUCCGUUACUGAGAUGUAAGACUGCUGAGCUUAGCUGCAGAGCCUGGUCUAUAUGUAGAUUCUCUGAGGGCCGCCUUGGUUCUAGGAUCAGAAGAUUUUAGUGUGGGGGUGAGUGGCACUUCCUCUGCUGCAGUAGCUCCUAAGUAUCUACUUCUAAGGGGAGGUGACUGAAGCAGCUUCAUCUUCUCCAGGACUCCUCAGAAGGGGCGAUUUGUAAUCUCAGUGACAAGAGAUGCUGGUAUUUUCUUCAGAAAAACUUGCUGGGUACCAUGGUAACCGAUGCCAGUAGGGUUCUUCAUCCUCUUUUCCUCUCUCUGAGCAUCUCAGUUAUGACAGUCUCACCAGACAUAUUUUAACAUGGAUUCUUCUUUUUUUAAUUUUAUUGGUUUACAGGGAGGGGUGUGUGAGAACUACAUUUCUUUUAGUCCUCUGCCUUGGCAACUUUAAUCUCCAGAAUCCUAUACAUCUUCUGUGAUAUAUGUAUGUCUUCAUAGAAAAGGAAAACUGAAAUAUCCAUUCCUUAUAUAAUGCUGAUUGGAACGAAUAUUAUAUUUAAUGUUUUGGAACAAACAAAAAUCCCAGGCCCUGUUCCUUCCUCUGAUUUAAAUGCUCUCCAGGCCAACUUCCCCCCGGAAGGAAAACAUGAGAUCUGCAGUGCUAGUCCUGGCUUGAGUUAGUCUAUCUGGGUGGUUCAGGCAGAAGACGGAAGAACGGAGACUCGAUUUCUGCUCACUGACUUCUAAGAGGAGAAAUCUGCCUGUGCUAGCUCUCGCCUUCCAAGACCUAGAGUUUGAGCCAACUCAAACACUGAAAUCUUCUCCAUUUACUUUUGCUUAUACAGAACAUCUGUACCCUUUUUGCAUUGCUUCAUGUCUGGUGAUCUGAAAAACUCCUACACAAUCCACUAUACCCACUUCAGGGUGAUUUUUAUUAGAUUUCUACAAUCGAGGGUCCUCUCCUUCAUCUUAAGGUAAACGUGAUUUGCGCCAUAUUGAAACUUCCUGGGGUUUGUUAUUUGCUUUCAUUGUAAGGUAUAAUGAAGGCAUCAACACUCCUUUGGUUGCUUUGCUACACUGUGGCUUCCACAAAGACAGGAUCAGUCUCUGAUCCCCAGCAAAAUUCAGUGCCAGGUGCACAGGGGAUACUUGAUACAGGUUAGCCGAAUUAAAUCAAACAGCAAAAUAAUAAUGUCAUAUAAAAUGGUGCACGGGCAGGUGAAUAAUCACUGCUGAGAUGAGAGAAUUUUGAAAUCCCGAGAGGGUCAGCCACUUCGCAGGCUGUACUUGCGGAGCACUAUAUCAAUCAAGGACCUGUUUUCAAUUGCAUGGUGACAGGUUUACUCUCCGGCUAUAAUGAUAUGAAAUAUGUGGUAUGUAUAAUUUAUUGUAGUUCAUAAAAAACCGAACUCAAACUCCUGACAAGAGACAUCCACAGAGCAUCAAAUUUGCUAAUAUGAAGAAAGAUGCUCCCAAUGAAAUACUUUAAUGCAGGCGAUGUUCUUGGAGAGUUCCAGUUUGCUCAGAAAUUCUAAGGCUAACUUAAAUACAAUUUUAGAUUGCCUAAACUUUUAGAGACGGGACAAAGUGUUGUAAUUUAGUCAGGAAGAGAAUAAUUAUAUUCUAUAUUAAGGGAAAAAAUGUAAAUUCCUCAAUGACACACUCAAUUUUCCCUCAAAGGCAUGAUAUAAGCCGGCUUCCUGGUACCAUAGCGAAAUAACUAAGGUAGUUAAAUUACAAAUAGAAAUUUUCUUAGCUAACAGUGUUUGAGGUUAAUUCCAGGACAGAUCUGAGAACAAGUAACAAUGUGUGUGUUGGGGAUGACAAAUGGAACUGGCUGCUCAGGCCAUGAAGAGGAAGCAGAGGGAGGAAGAAGCUGGGAUCACUAAGGCUUUGUUGAAAAGACAGUGCAAUAUCCGAAGAGCUCCCCGUGUCCUGAAGUUCCCAGCUUCACCAGUUCCUCCCAAACACCACACUUCAAAGCAAAUUCUUGAAACCCAGAUACUUUUUUUAUUAACUUGAGUAUUUCUUAUAUACAUUUCGAGUGUUAUUCCCUUUCCCGGUUUCCGGGCAAACAUCCCCCUCCCCUCUCCCCUUCCUUAUGGGUGUUCC
Molecule: non-coding RNA, 2338 nt
Organism: Rattus norvegicus (Norway rat)
Lineage: Eukaryota; Metazoa; Chordata; Mammalia; Rodentia; Muridae
Source: RefSeq, a predicted model, not a curated record